GAUGAAGAACGUAGCGAAAUGCGAUAAGUAGUGUGAAUUGCAGAAUUCAGUGAAUCAUCGAAUCUUUGAACGCACAUUGCGCCCCUUGGUAUUCCAUGGGGCAUGCCUGUUCGAGCGUCAUUUGUACCUUCAAGCUCUGCUUGGUGUUGGGUGUUUGUCUCGCCUCUGCGUGUAGACUCGCCUCAAAACAAUUAGCAGCCGGCGUAUUGAUUUCGGAGCGCAGUACAUCUCGCGCUUUGCACUCAUAACGACGACGUCCAAAAGUACAUUUUUACACUCUUGACCUCGGAUCAGGUAGGGAUACCCGCUGAACUUAAGCAUAUCAAUAAGCGGAGGA
Molecule: unclassified non-coding RNA, 337 nt
Filed under: soil metagenome
Description: partial contains 5.8S ribosomal RNA, internal transcribed spacer 2, and large subunit ribosomal RNA
Rfam family: 5.8S ribosomal RNA (bases 1-120)
Source: RNAcentral